This 22-nucleotide ribosomal RNA is filed under the name Escherichia coli 2-210-07_S3_C2. Its description in RNAcentral is "partial 23S ribosomal RNA". The record is from RNAcentral. Lineage: Bacteria; Pseudomonadati; Pseudomonadota; Gammaproteobacteria; Enterobacterales; Enterobacteriaceae.
GCAAACGCUGCACCGUCUGCCG